UACGUAGGAGGCAAGCGUUGUCCGGAAUUACUGGGUGUAAAGCGCGUGUAGGCGGCAGGCCAAGUCUGUGGUGAAAUCGCCCGGCUCAACUGGGCGGGGUCCAUGGAAACUGGUCAGCUGGAGGACGGUAGAGGUGAGUGGAAUUCCCGGUGUAGCGGUGAAAUGCGUAGAGAUCGGGAGGAACACCAGUGGCGAAGGCGGCUACCUGGACCAGCACUGACACUGAGGCACGAAAGCGUGGGGAGCAAACAGG
Molecule: ribosomal RNA, 253 nt
Filed under: uncultured bacterium
Lineage: Bacteria
Description: partial 16S ribosomal RNA
Rfam family: Bacterial small subunit ribosomal RNA
Source: RNAcentral